CCUGGGGUUUUUCUCGUGACACCUGCAACAACGAGUGUUAGAAGUGGAGCUGUGCAUUAGUCACCUCUGUUCCCUGGUUACUGAUUAACAGGUGCUGCCUUUGUGGUCCAGGGGAAGGCGAAUCACCAAAGCCCUUCCCUUGGCAGCUGUACAUCCACUGUUGUGUUCUAUUAAUAAAAACCAAACUGUCUGGGUUUCCCACGCACACUCGUGUUUCCAGGGGAGUGGGAACCACUGUGGGUUCCAUAACCAUUGCAGGAUUUUGAUGGAGACACCCUGUGGGAAUCAGCUUUCCCAGCACCUGCAGUGGGGAUGCCCCAUGCUCUGAGGGGCAGCACGGGGAAGGUGAGCCUGGUCCUGGGUGUUCCAUACAUCAGGGAGCAAAAACCAUCAGCAGCCGGGCCUGAGGAAGGAAAAUAACUUAAAUAUGAGACAGAGAUUUGUGAUGUGUGAAAAACACGGCAGCUCUUUGUUCUUCACUAAUCCAAAUUUAUAGAAGGAGCCAGGAGGUGUUUUUUGAGAGCAUCUCAGACACUGGAAUUUGAACACUGAUUUAGGGAAUUAAUUGUAAGUGAUCCAGGUUAAUGGGUGUUUCACAAGGCAAAUGGAAGGGAUCACAUCCUGUGGGGUGCCUGCAGGUGACUCUCAUUCCCCACCAACCCAUCUGUAAAUCCCAUCACCUGUUCUGGGCCAUAUAAACAGCCAGAGACGAUGCAGGAGAUUAAUUCCUGGAGUGCAGAGCUGGGGUUUGGGCUGGUGGGGGAUUUUCACAUGGAUCUCCUCCUUCCUUGCUUCCUGACAAAGGUUCUAGCCUCUGACUAACUCAGGUGGGCUGGGUGCCAGCAUGCUCUUGUGGAAGUUUCCCAGCUGAAAAGUUAAAUGUGCCUUGUUGGAGACAUUGUUGCUGGCAGAAGGAAGAAGGAUAUAAUCAAACUUAUUUAGUAGAUGUGUUUGUCUUGGGGCACCAGGAAAUAUGCUGGAGUCUGAGAUACAGAGAUUUGUCACAUCAUGUACCAAAUAUAUUUACUGGGUUUUCCCCCUUUGAAAGAGAAAAAGCC
RNAcentral lists this long non-coding RNA (1058 nucleotides) under Ficedula albicollis (Collared flycatcher). RNAcentral describes it as "lncRNA (ENSFALG00000028801.1)". The record is from RNAcentral. Lineage: Eukaryota; Metazoa; Chordata; Aves; Passeriformes; Muscicapidae.